This 121-nucleotide ribosomal RNA is filed under the name Sorex araneus (European shrew). The record is from RNAcentral. Lineage: Eukaryota; Metazoa; Chordata; Mammalia; Eulipotyphla; Soricidae.
AAUGAUCAAACACCCCACCAUGAACGCGCCCAGUCCCGUCUGAUCUCGGAAGCUAAGCAGGGUUAGGCCUGGUUAGUACUUGGAUGGGAGACUACGCACUAUUUUAUAAGGUUAAUCUCUU